UGCAUUUGCUGUCACCUGAAA
RNAcentral lists this non-coding RNA (21 nucleotides) under Caenorhabditis elegans. Lineage: Eukaryota; Metazoa; Nematoda; Chromadorea; Rhabditida; Rhabditidae. The record is from RNAcentral.